CCUCACUACAAAAGGGGACCAUAGAGGAUUCUUGGAUAAGCUUUUUAGGCUAAAAAAGCACUCUCUUGCUAAAUUCUUCCUCACUGUUCCCAAAGCUUCAACUAGAUUAAGCAUCGAAAGGUCCUUCACUAGAGAAUUUCUAAUGAUUGAAUCUUUUCUGUAGGUCCUAGGAGUGUCUAAUCAUCCUUGGAUCACCGCCAACCACCAAGCUCCACC
RNAcentral lists this long non-coding RNA (216 nucleotides) under Elaeis guineensis (African oil palm). RNAcentral's name for it is "long non-coding RNA (EGUI_LNC010174)". Lineage: Eukaryota; Viridiplantae; Streptophyta; Magnoliopsida; Arecales; Arecaceae. The record is from RNAcentral.